UUUAUCGGAGAGUUUGAUCCUGGCUCAGGAUGAACGCUGGCGGCGUGCCUAAUACAUGCAAGUCGAGCGAAUGGAUUGAGAGCUUGCUCUCAAGAAGUUAGCGGC
RNAcentral lists this ribosomal RNA (105 nucleotides) under Bacillus thuringiensis. RNAcentral describes it as "partial 16S ribosomal RNA". It matches the Rfam family "Bacterial small subunit ribosomal RNA", at positions 1 to 99 of the family's 1533-position model. Lineage: Bacteria; Bacillati; Bacillota; Bacilli; Caryophanales; Bacillaceae. The record is from RNAcentral.